Long non-coding RNA from Bufo bufo (common toad), 189 nucleotides. RefSeq lists it as uncharacterized. Lineage: Eukaryota; Metazoa; Chordata; Amphibia; Anura; Bufonidae. The record is from RefSeq and is a predicted model, not a curated record. The transcript has 3 exons.
CACUAUAAAAUGAGGAGCAAGUGCCAAUACUGGAGGAAGGAUUUUAUACCAAUUUUAAGCCAGCACUUAGUCAUCCGGGCCUUGGGAUCCAGCCAGCUAAAAUAGCUGAGGGGAUAGAGCAGCAUUGCACUGCAAAGUAUUAAUUGUUUGCCCUCCAAGUAUCUUGCAAGAUUUAAACCUGCUGUGAAG